AUGUCCCCUUUAUGGAAAGCCCCUGUCCCCCUAAAAAUUAAGAUCUUUGUUUGGCAAUUACUACAGGACCGCCUCCCCUCGGGGACCGAGGUACGUAAGCGGAACGGACCUGGCGAUGGUAUUUGCCCGUUAUGUGCGGUACCGGAGACUGGGACUCGUAUCCUCUUCUCAUGUACCGCAGCGAGGGUACUCUGGACAUAUGUCCGCGAGGUGUUGGGGCCUGACUGGGAGGCCCUAAACCUUGCUGAGUUCCUCCAACAUAGAGCUUUACCGUUGUCAAGACAUCGGCGCCUAUUUUGGCUUAUUUUCGCGGCAUUGUCGUGGACUCUUUGGACGACUAGGAAUAAGAUGGUGAUCGAGAAGGUUUUUCCGAGGAAGGCGUCUGACUCCCUCUUCAAAUUCCGGGCUUUCCUGCAGCACUGGCACCCGCUCUCGAGGCACCGUGAUCGAAACCGACUCGGCCUGAUGAUGGAUGCGCUUCUGGCGUCGGCGCGUCGACUUUCCUCCCUGUAG
RNAcentral lists this ribosomal RNA (513 nucleotides) under Triticum aestivum (bread wheat). RNAcentral's name for it is "partial small subunit ribosomal RNA". The record is from RNAcentral. Lineage: Eukaryota; Viridiplantae; Streptophyta; Magnoliopsida; Poales; Poaceae.